UGGGACAGCGGCCGCCGGGGCUGGAGCGCGCAGGACCCCGCGCGGCCCCGACCUGAAGUCCAGCGGACGCCAGGAGGAAGUCGUGGGAACGAAGCGGCGAGAAGGGCCCCUGGCGGGAGGGCCGGGCUCGGGUCGUGGCGUCCGCUCUCGGAACCCACACUCAGGAAACUCAGCUGGAGUGGCGGGCCCGAGGGUUAGACUCGCAUGAACGAACGAGAGCGGGCUGGCCACAGGCAGGCGGUGCGCUCCUGGGAGGACCCCGGCUAGAGGGAGGACUCGCGGAAGGUUGAGGCCCAGGAAGUCGGGGCGCGCACCAGGACGCUGGCGCGCCGAUCCCGGGAGGCCUGGCGUGCUGCAGUCCAUGGGGCUGCAAAGAGUUGGACAUGACUGAGCGACUGAACUGAAAUGAAUUUGCUUCAAAUGCUGAACAACCAGAGAAUGGUCGAUGUUGUCACCUUCUGAUGGCCAGCCACUGUGCUCAUCUUCAAGACUCUUGUCUCCUUUGCAAAACUUCUUGAACCACCACUGCGCUGUACAUCCAUUAGCAGUUCCUGAGCCAAAUGCAUUGUUGAUGUUGUGAGUUGUCUCUGCUGCUUUACAAAACAUUUUGAACUCAAAUAAGAAAACUGCUCAAAUUUG
This is a long non-coding RNA of Bubalus bubalis (water buffalo), 639 nucleotides long. RefSeq lists it as uncharacterized. The transcript has 2 exons. Lineage: Eukaryota; Metazoa; Chordata; Mammalia; Artiodactyla; Bovidae. The record is from RefSeq and is a predicted model, not a curated record.